This 1648-nucleotide ribosomal RNA is filed under the name Scolecobasidium sp. Its description in RNAcentral is "partial 28S ribosormal RNA". The stretch from base 263 to 1648 matches the Rfam family "Eukaryotic large subunit ribosomal RNA", at positions 1 to 1409 of the family's 3401-position model. The record is from RNAcentral. Lineage: Eukaryota; Fungi; Ascomycota; Dothideomycetes; Venturiales; Sympoventuriaceae.
AGUCAUCGAAUCUUUGAACGCACAUUGCGCCCUCUGGUAUUCCGGAGGGCACGCCUGUUCGAGCGCCAUUACACCCUCCAAGCUCUGCUUGAUGUUGGACGCUGUGUCUUUUAGGGGCACACGUCUGGAACUUGUAGGCGUCCGUCACUGUCGAGACACCGCGAGCGUAGCAAGACUUUUCUGGUCAUUUUUCGCUCUGUUGGGACUCCAGCGGACUGCCCCUUACGAUUAGUGGGGUAACCCUCUAAUCAUCUACUGAGUUUGGCCUCGGAUCAGGCGGGGAUACCCGCUGAACUUAAGCAUAUCAAUAAGCGGAGGAAAAGAAACCAACAGGGAUUGCCCCAGUAACGGCGAGUGAAGCGGCAACAGCUCAAAUUUGAAAUCUGGCGUCUUAGGCGUCCGAGUUGUAAUUUGCAGAGGGAGUCUCGGAUUUAGGAUCGGCCCAAGUGCCUUGGAACAGGAUACCAAAGAGGGUGAGAGUCCCGUAUCCGGCCGAUACCGACGUCCGUGUGAGACCCCUUCGACGAGUCGAGUUGUUUGGGAAUGCAGCUCUAAAUGGGUGGUAAAUUCCAUCUAAAGCUAAAUACUGGCCAGAGACCGAUAGCGCACAAGUAGAGUGAUCGAAAGAUGAAAAGCACUUUGAAAAGAGAGUCAAACAGUACGUGAAAUUGUUGAAAGGGAAGCGUAUGUGGGCAGACUUGACCGCGGGAUUCAGCUCGUCUUCUGGCGGGUGUACUUUCUCGUGGGCAGGCCAGCAUCGGUUUCGGGGGUGAGACAAAGGCGUCGGGAAUGUGGCUCGCUUCGGUGAGUGUUAUAGCCCUUCGUGUAAUGUCACCACCUGGGACCGAGGACCGCGUUUUUACGAGGAUGCUGGCGUAAUGGCCUCAUACGGCCCGUCUGAAACACGGACCAAGGAGUCUAACAUCUAUGCGAGUGUUUGGGUGUCAAGCCCGGGCGCGCAAUGAAAGUGAACGGAGGUGGGAGUCUUCGGACGCACCAUCGACCGAUCCCGAUGUCUUCGGAGGGAUUUGAGUACGAGCAUAGCUGUUGGGACCCGAAAGAUGGUGAACUAUGCGUGAAUAGGGUGAAGCCAGAGGAAACUCUGGUGGAGGCUCGCAGCGGUUCUGACGUGCAAAUCGAUCGUCAAAUUUGCGUAUAGGGGCGAAAGACUAAUCGAACCAUCUAGUAGCUGGUUCCUGCCGAAGUUUCCCUCAGGAUAGCAGUAGCGUUUUCAGUUUUAUGAGGUAAAGCGAACGAUUAGGGACCUAGGGGUUGAAACAACCUUUAUCCAUUCUCGAACUUUAAAUAUGUAAGAAGUCCUUGUUACUUUGUUGAACGUGGACACUCGAAUGCAACGUUACUAGUGGGCCAUUUUUGGUAAGCAGAACUGGCGAUGCGGGAUGAACCGAACGCGAGGUUAAGGUGCCGGAAUGCACGCUCAUCAGACACCACAAAAGGUGUUGGUUCAUCCAGACAGCAGGACGGUGGCCAUGGAAGUCGGAAUCCGCUAAGGAGUGUGUAACAACUCACCUGCCGAAUGAACCAGCCCUGAAAAUGGAUGGCGCUCAAGCGUGUUACCCAUACCUCGCCGUGUAUUCUGGUAAUUCUGAGUACACGAGUAGGCAGGCGUGGAGGCCCGUGACGAAGC